GGAGGUGAGGGCGAUCUGGCUGUGCCAUCUGUCACCCCAUUAAUCACCAGGGUUGAUUUGGCUGAGCUGCCUGGCUAGGUGGGUGUCCCCUGCCUCUCUCACUGCUUCACAUGCAUCCCUCCUGAAGCUGCAUGCUCCAUUCCUGAGACAGGAGGACUGGUCCUCGGUCAAAGAUAUACGAGUAGCUGUGCUCCCCUGCUAGAACCUGCAAACAGGCUCUCAAGAGUAGGAUAGGACUGUAGUGGAGUGCGUGUUUUUCUCUGCCCAGAGACUCUGAACACACUAACACAAAGUCUUCAUAU
Molecule: unclassified non-coding RNA, 302 nt
Organism: Rhinopithecus bieti (black snub-nosed monkey)
Lineage: Eukaryota; Metazoa; Chordata; Mammalia; Primates; Cercopithecidae
Gene: 7SK
Rfam family: 7SK RNA
About the family: 7SK was discovered as an abundant small nuclear RNA in the mid-70s but a possible function has only recently been suggested. Two independent studies have found that 7SK RNA binds the CDK9/cyclin T complex (known as elongation factor P-TEFb).
Source: Ensembl